Long non-coding RNA from Phyllostomus discolor (pale spear-nosed bat), 645 nucleotides. RefSeq lists it as uncharacterized. The record is from RefSeq and is a predicted model, not a curated record. NCBI's taxonomy places the organism in Eukaryota, Metazoa, Chordata, Mammalia, Chiroptera, Phyllostomidae. The transcript has 3 exons.
UACAGCUGAGUAGACUAAUAGGUUAACUAUGUCUCAUUACAUUUAUUACUUUUGUAUUCAAUUAAAACACCUCAGUCUGGCACAGAUUUUCAUGUUGAUGGUAGCAGGUAACAACCAUGCACCUAAAAAACAGGUUGCUGACACAUCUACCCUGGAAACAGAGAUGUGGUGUCAUCCCUUUUAGAGGCAGCUUAGGGUGCCUGCUAUUGCAUUUGGAACCUGGAUUUCACUCCUGCUCUGUCAUAUGGCUUUCUGACUGCUGAUUCUGAAAGAAACUAUUAUUUUCACUUUUAUGAUCAAUUUAAAGAAAAUCAACUUCAUCAGAUCCCUCUUAUUUUUGGAAAUAUUGACUUAAGGCCAUCUCCUAUGACUAAUAAUUUGAAAGGAUUUAUAUCUAGAAAGCAGCACUGGUUAUGAAAUAUAUUUUAGAGUGAACAUGCUCCAAUGAGCAGAGCCCUCUGGAAGCAAUGUCUCAAUCCCACUCUGAGCUACCUGCACAUGCUAGCUUGGGGAACAUCUCUACUUCUCCUGGCUGGAGAGGCUGUACCUGAGCUGAACUUUCCACAGGAUUGAAGAAAGGAUUAUAAUUCCAUGGACUCCAAGUUCUUUAAUGCUGGACAGAGGUUUUUUUCUAAGCCAUCUCCU